CGUCACUGAGAGCCCUUCCCAUUUUCACUGAGCCUUUCGCUUGCUGCGCAUGCGCAUAUCCUUUCCUGGAAGCUCUUUCCUUUGGAGUUGAACUGAGCCUAACCUUGAAGAUCUGCAUACUAUCCCUGUUACUGACCUCAGUGAAUAACAUCCAUUGACCUCUCUCCUUACAUGUUGAGUUAAAAAAAUAGGAUGAAUAAAUCCAUUGUAACUC
Molecule: long non-coding RNA, 214 nt
Organism: Chinchilla lanigera (long-tailed chinchilla)
Lineage: Eukaryota; Metazoa; Chordata; Mammalia; Rodentia; Chinchillidae
Exons: 2
Source: RefSeq, a predicted model, not a curated record